This is a long non-coding RNA of Xiphophorus couchianus (Monterrey platyfish), 1398 nucleotides long. RefSeq lists it as uncharacterized. The record is from RefSeq and is a predicted model, not a curated record. Lineage: Eukaryota; Metazoa; Chordata; Actinopteri; Cyprinodontiformes; Poeciliidae. The transcript is spliced from 11 exons.
GAAAUGUGGAAGCUGUGAGAAGCUUCCAGAACUGGUACUAAUAAGAUUGAGUUUGGCCUUUAUAUCCGUAAAAAAGAGAAUGAAAAAAUUAAGUAUCUGAUGUGGACGGAGCCAGUCCUAGCUAGCUGCAGCCCUUGACGUUAGCUCAUGGAGGAAGACGUUUUUUCCCCGGUCAAACAAAACUAAAGAAACUUGAUGCAUCUCAUUGAGAACUAACCAAGGGUAACCAUGGCAACCGGUGACAGUUUAAAGUCAGGCCAACACUUUCUGCAGCACUUUCUCUAUACUCUCUGAAGGCUCCCUGGCGAGACCUGUCCUGGUCUGCCGCCGCCUCCGCCGCCUCCUCCUCAUGACGUUGUCCGCCAGCGAGUUCGCUUUCUCGUAAAUCCACGGCAGCUCCCACAAUGCUUUGCCCUGCACCUUGAUGUUGUCCAUCUGGAGAAGGAAGACUGCUCUGAGGAACAACACGAGAGCCGUCAGUUGUCUGACGGAGGCUGCUGCCAUUGACUAGAAAAGACGAAGCAGACAAAGAAACAGGAAGAAGUCUUCCCGUCUCUUCUGAGCGCGCUCCAGGACGGCGGACGCUGCCGAGCACGAAGCCGCCGAGCGCCAUGACAUCACUGACAGUCGGUCGUCUGGGUGACAAAACGCUGCGUGGCGUUCAGCUCCGGGUCCUGGAGGCGUUUCCCUCCCAGCGUUUCUCUGAGUUUUUCCUCCACUGACCGACGACCUCCUACUGGACAUACUGGAGCGACCAGACAGAAACCAGUUCAGACACUCACCUUUCCUGCCAGUAGAGGGUGCUGUUCUGCAAACUGGAGCUGCUGGAGAACCAGGCAGGAAGUCACCGGACUCGGCCGGACCGGGUCUCUUCAGUGGUUGGAGACCCAGAGAUAAAAACAUCAUAGGAGGUUCUUACGGUUCUGAUCAGGGCAGAAUCCGGCCAGCGGGCGGCAGCGCUGAGGCGACACGCUUCUGGAGCGAGGGACACCGUAGCUCUUCUGGUGAAAGGAAGCAGGAAGAGGGAAAACUGUGACCAGCAGGGGGCAGCACAGCUAAAGGUCAGUUAUUUUUAACAUCUAACCUUUAAAAUUAGUUUUUAUACACAGAGUUAAAAAAUUUAAGCUGCAUAAUUUUGACUUUUAAGACUGAAAAUAUAUUUUGUUUCUCGCCGUCUUUCCUAAAUCUUCUAUUAAUUAUUUAUAGAUGGAUUAUAAUUUGACAUUUGUAGCCGAAGCUUUAAAUAUUUUACAGGAAGUAGGUUUUUUUUAAUUACAGGAAUACUUUAGUACUUUCUGACGGCUGAAUAUUUAUGACCAUCCUGGUUUGUGGGCUCGUGUUGAAGCGACGUGUGUGUGUGUGUGUGUGUGUGUGUGUGUGUGUGUGAGUGUGUGUGUG